This 1411-nucleotide ribosomal RNA is filed under the name uncultured bacterium. Its description in RNAcentral is "bacterial SSU rRNA". It matches the Rfam family "Bacterial small subunit ribosomal RNA". The record is from RNAcentral.
AGAGUUUGAUCCUGGCUCAGGAUGAACGCUGGCGGCGUGCUUAACACAUGCAAGUCGAACGGAGUACCCUUGAAGGAGUUUUCGGACAACUGAGAGGACUACUUAGUGGCGGACGGGUGAGUAACGCGUGAGUAACCUGCCUUGGAGUGGGGAAUAACAGCUGGAAACAGCUGCUAAUACCGCAUGAUGCAGUUGGGUCGCAUGGCUCUGACUGCCAAAGAUUUAUCGCUCUGAGAUGGACUCGCGUCUGAUUAGCUGGUUGGUGGGGUAACGGCUCACCAAGGCGACGAUCAGUAGCCGGACUGAGAGGUUGGCCGGCCACAUUGGGACUGAGACACGGCCCAGACUCCUGCGGGAGGCAGCAGUAGGGAAUUUUCGUCAAUGGGCGCAAGCCUGAACGAGCGAUGCCGCGUGAGUGAAGAAGGCCUUCGGGUCGUAAAGCUCUGUUGCGGGGGAAAAAAGGCAGCAUCAGGAAAUGGGUGCUGACUGAUGGUGCCCCGCCAGAAAGUCACGGCUAACUACGUGCCAGCAGCCGCGGUAAUACGUAGGUGGCGAGCGUUAUCCGGAAUGAUUGGGCGUAAAGGGUGCGCAGGCGGUCCUGCAAGUCUGGAGUGAAACGCAUGAGCUCAACUCAUGCAUGGCUUUGGAAACUGGAGGACUGGAGAGCAGGAGAGAGCGGUGGAACUCCAUGUGUAGCGGUAAAAUGCGUAGAUAUAUGGAAGAACACCAGUGGCGAAGGCGGCCGCCUGGCCUGUUGCUGACGCUGAGGCACGAAAGCGUGGGGAGCAAAUAGGAUUAGAUACCCUAGUAGUCCACGCCGUAAACGAUGAGGACCAAGUGUUGGGGGUGAAACCUCAGUGCUGAAGUUAACGCAGUGAGUCCUCCGCCUGGGGAGUAUGCACGCAAGUGUGAAACUCAAAGGAAUUGACGGGGGCCCGCACAAGCGGUGGAGUAUGUGGUUUAAUUCGUAGCAACGCGAAGAACCUUACCAGGCCUUGACAUGGGAUGCGAAGAUGCAGAGAUGCAUCGGAGGUCAACAUCCACACAGGUGGUGCAUGGUUGUCGUCAGCUCGUGUCGUGAGAUGUUGGGUCAAGUCCCGCAACGAGCGCAACCCUUGUGGCAUGUUGCUAACAGGAAAAGCUGAGGACUCAUGCCAGACUGCCGGUGACAAACCGGAGGAAGGCGGGGAUGACGUCAAAUCAUCAUGCCCCUUAUGGCCUGGGCUACACACGUACUACAAUGGCGGCUACAAAGAGCAGCGAGACAGGGAUGUCGAGCGAAUCUCAUAAAAGCCGUCCCAGUUCGGAUUGGAGGCUGCAACCCGCCUCCAUGAAGUUGGAAUCGCUAGUAAUCGCGGAUCAGCAUGCCGCGGUGAAUACGUUCCCGGGCCUUGCACUCACCGCCCGUCAA